Molecule: unclassified non-coding RNA, 1250 nt
Filed under: Hevea brasiliensis (rubber tree)
Lineage: Eukaryota; Viridiplantae; Streptophyta; Magnoliopsida; Malpighiales; Euphorbiaceae
Source: RNAcentral
UUUCUUUUGAAGCUCCAAAUGAAACUCUUCGAGAAUGUUGCACACAGUUAUUUGUAGCAUGUGUAUGGAAUCCAUCAGGCGUAGAAUCAGGAGUCCUUUCAAGACACGGAGAAUUGUCAUUGGAACCAGACUUAACAUUAUUGUUAGGAGUAUUUGAGGCAUCAUGCCCCACUUGCUUUGUCCUUCUGGGGAAUGAUGGCCGUCUACUAAAGUUUGGAGGUGUUCGCAGUCUUUGCUUUGCAGGAAUUCCAUCUUCAGCAACAUGCUUUGAAGGAGCAGGCGAGGAGAUACCCUCAUGUCUAGGUUUAGUCCUGGGACUGGAAUCGAUGACAGGUAACUGAUGCUUUAGAGCAGGCAGUCCAUGAUUCCUUUUGGUGGAAUCAGAUCCAGCCUUUGUUGAUCCGGGAGAUGGCAUCUCUGCAUUGGGUUUAGAAGGAGCAACUGAACUUGGUUUUGGGACCUUUGGUGGUGCUUCAGCGUUAGCUUUCUGUGCACCAAUCUUCGGUCGGUUGCCCCUCAUUGGGGAACUAUGCUCUCUCAUUUUUCCUUCUUUCACAGCCAGCAUAAUAUUUUUUAUUGCUCUAGGUUGCUUAGCUUCUGCAUCACAUCUCCUCUCAUCAUCAAUAAUGUUCUUAAAUUCAAAGUCAUCUGUAUCUUCAGGAAAAGCAUCAUCUCCAGUAUCUUCGUCAAAGGAAUGAAGUUGCCUAAAGUCAAUAUCAUCGUCAACAAAUGCCACAUCAACAUCAGUGCCCCUGUAAUCAUAAUUGGAAGCCCUGCUUUGGAUGUUUUUCUCCUUUGACUUCAAACUAUCUUUAUCACUACAGGAACUUGUACUACUUUGGCUUUCUGCCAUAUUCUUUCUUGAGUCGCGGCCAGUAGUGAGAGGUUUUUCAGGAUAGUUUCCUACAUGAGUUAUAAAGGAUGGUCGGUAUUGCUCUAGAUACGGCCGCAAAUAGGGGUGCUUCAGGAGCUCGGAAGCACUGGGACGAUGCUCAGGAUUCUUUCUUAGCAUGCCUUUAAUAAGUGUUUUCAAGGAUGGAGAAUAACAUGAUGGAAGAGGCCCAAUGGAUGAUCUGUUAAUCUUGCUUAUCAAUCCCGCCAUGUCAAAUGCUUUAAAUGCAGGUCGAUAAGCAGCCAUUUCAUACAUACAGCAACCUAGGGACCAAAUAUCUGAUUUAAAACCAUAAGGAAUGUCAGCAAGAAGUUCAGGGCACAUGUAAUUGGGCGUUCCAACUACUGAAGAAGCCAAG